This 2217-nucleotide ribosomal RNA is filed under the name Triticum aestivum (bread wheat). RNAcentral's name for it is "partial small subunit ribosomal RNA". The record is from RNAcentral. Lineage: Eukaryota; Viridiplantae; Streptophyta; Magnoliopsida; Poales; Poaceae.
AUGGCCGGCGGCAAGGCGGCCGGUAGCAAGGCGCCGGCUGAUGCGGCCAAGGCGGGCGGCUCCGGGUCGAAGACGCCGCCACGGUCGCGGUCCCCGUCACGGUCGCCCCUGAGGUGCGGUCGGAGCCGCACGGUGCGCGGGCGCGAGCUCGCGGCGCCUGUGGUGCAGAAGGUGAUCCGGGAGUCCGGAUUGACAAGUUGGCCGAUGCUCAUGAAGACGAACUACAACGACUGGUCUCUGCUCAUGAAAGUGAAGCUGGAGGCGCGUGGCUACUGGAAUGCCAUCAAGCACGACGACGUCGACUUCCACAAGGACCGCAUGGCGAUGGAGGCCAUACUUGGAGCAGUGCCGCCCGAGAUGGUGGGGACACUGGCCGUCAAGCCGACGGCGAAGGCGGCGUGGGAUGCGAUCGCCACCAUGCGCAUCGGCGGUGACCGGGUGCGCGCGGCCAAGGCGCAGUCUCUAGCGCAGGAGUUCGAGACCAUCGAAUUCCGUGACGGCGAGUUCGUGGACGAUUUCGCGAUGCGGCUCGGGUCCAUGAUCACGAGCCUGGACGUCCUGGGCGACAAGGUCACCGAGGAGAAGGCGGUGCACAAGUUCCUUCGUGUGGUGCCGCAGCGCUACGCACAAAUUGCUAUGUCCAUUGAGACGCUUGUUGAUCUCUCUACUUUGACCGCGACACAUGCUGCACCGAGCACUUUCACCGUGGAGUACACGGUCACCGCGCCCUCCGACGACGACCCCGCAAGCGAGGCAGGGAGCGGUAGCGCGACACCAGAAGAGCCGUGUAUGCCGUCCCCUGGUACACCGGCUGCACCAAACGAGCCGGCGUUCGUCGCGCCUCCCACCGGCGAGUCUUAUGACUUCGAGGGGUUGCCGCUCCGCUACCGCACUUACAGAGAGCGUGAGAGUCCAUCUUCAGUGAGAGAGAGAUCGCCGGCGAUGACAUGUAGGCGGUGGCGGAGCAUCACCACUGAUUCUAGGUUCCUCGGCCGCUUCCGCGCGCACCACCGCAAGCCGCCGCCCCUCGGCGCCUUCGAGUACAUCCAGGGCGACCUCGUCUUCACCUCCUUGCUCGACCGUCCCGACCGCAUCCCUCCCGGGCGCUUCGACCUGGGACGCUACAGCGACCACCGCGACUACGGCGUGCUCGGCUUCCGCCACGGCCGCGUCCUCGUCUUAGACCAUGUGCGCAAGGACCCGUCAUGUGCGCCCCCGUCACCGGCGAGCAGCGCCGCGUGGCUGUUCCACCCGAGUUCAAGAUGGGCUCCCUCAACGGGGCCGUGCUCUACGCUGCCGGCGACCCUGGCCACGUGCACGGUGAAUGCCACUCCAGCCCCUUCAAGGUGGUCUUGGAACGUCGAUGCUCAUGGUGUUGCCACAUGGGCGCCGUGGAAGACCGUAGAUUUGCGUAACAUUCUCGGGCCCCGUCCUCAGAUUGGGAGAACCAGAAGGAUGGCGCGAUUGACACGAGGCUGGGACUAUGUCAAGGGGACGGGAGGUAUAAUGUGCUAUGUUGAGGAUACUGAUGUCAUUUUUAUACAUAUGGACGUCAAUGUCUACAUGAUUCAGCUUAAUUCAAUGCAAUCCAAGAGUAUUCCUGGAAAGCGUUUUAGAAGUGCCUACCAUCCAUUCAUGAGUUUCUAUACACCAGAUCGGGAUCCAAAUCUCUCUCGUACUCCCGAUGGAUGUGCUGCUCCUUCUCUCUCUCGUUCUGCCGGCGGAUGCCCGGGCUUGCUCGCUGGCCUCGCGGGCCUCGGACGCCACCAAGAACGCCUCGCCGAGCAGCAGCAGCUCCACCGUGCCUCCUCUGCGCCGGCCAAGCCACGAGCAGCAGCAGCUCCACCUGCUACUGUUGACGCCAUGCUCGACCUGCCCAAGCCCGACGAUGACACCGCCCUACGCCCGCGCACACCGGUCGCCGCCGCCUUGCCGAGAGGGCUCGCCCUCGUGUGCGCCGACCUGCUGCACCGCACCUCGCCGAGAGGCUCGUCCUCGCGUGCGCUCCUCCUACCGGUCGCGGGAACUGCUAGACCUGCCACGGCGGCAUCCUGCGCUCCUCCUACGGCGAGUCCCCCCACUGGCCUCCUCCUACCGGCUGCAGGGCUGCCAGACCACGGCGGCGUCCGCCCCCUCCCCCCGCGAAGCGCAGACCUGCUCGUCGCCGGUGACCUGUUCGCCUUCGUAGCAGGCGUCGCGGCGCACGGGCGUACGUAG